RNAcentral lists this ribosomal RNA (317 nucleotides) under uncultured bacterium. Its description in RNAcentral is "bacterial SSU rRNA". It matches the Rfam family "Bacterial small subunit ribosomal RNA", at positions 28 to 334 of the family's 1533-position model. The record is from RNAcentral.
GACGAACGCUGGCGGCGUGCCUAACACAUGCAAGUCGAGCGGGGAAAAUUGGAAAGCUUGCUUUCUGGUUUUUCUAGCGGCGGACGGGUGAGUAACGCGUGAGUAAUCUGUCUCAAACAGGGGGAUAACGCAGCGAAAGUUGUGCUAAUACCGCAUAAGACCACAGUGCCGCAUGGUACAGGGGUCAAAGGAGCAAUCCGGUUUGAGGUGAGCUCGCGUCCCAUUAGGUAGUUGGUGAGGUAACGGCCCACCAAGCCUACGAUGGGUAGCCGACCUGAGAGGGUGAUCGGCCACACUGGAACUGAGACACGGUCCAG